This 261-nucleotide long non-coding RNA is filed under the name Physcomitrium patens. RNAcentral's name for it is "long non-coding RNA (PPAT_LNC007316)". The record is from RNAcentral. Lineage: Eukaryota; Viridiplantae; Streptophyta; Bryopsida; Funariales; Funariaceae.
GAGGAUGGGAGAGAGGAAGAAAGGGCCAGACUGUAAUAGUCAUGAGCUAGGAUUAAGCUUGGUGCUUAUUCUUUAUUUUUUUUGUUUUUUUUGUUGUUGAAGAAUAAUGGAUAGUUUCUGAAUACUGAGAAGUGAAUUUGUGGAAUAAAUCAGAGAUUGAUUUAUGAGUUAUUGAUUAUGUAAUUGAAAUACUGAGUGACUGAAUUAUAUGAGAAGUUAUUGGAAGAUUGAUUAUACAUGGAAGAUUAUGAUUGUUGUUUA